GGUGCCUUCGGGAGCGCACAGACAGGUGCUGCAUGGCUGUCGUCAGCUCGUGUUGUGAAAUGUUGGGUUAAGUCCCGUAACGAGCGCAACCCUUGUCCCUAUUUGCCAGCGAUUCGGUCGGGAACUCUAGGGAGACUGCCGGUGACAAACCGGAGGAAGGUGGGGACGACGUCAAGUCAUCAUGGCCCUUACGGGUAGGGCUACACACGUGCUACAAUGGCCGGUACAAUGGGUUGCAAAGCGGCGACGUGGAGCUAAUCUCAUAAAGCCGGUCUCAGUCCGGAUCGGAGUCUGCAACUCGACUCCGUGAAGUCGGAAUCGCUAGUAAUCGUGCAUCAGAAUGGCACGGUGAAUACGUUCCCGGGCCUUGUACACACCGCCCGUCACACCAUGGGAGUGGACUGCACCAGAAGUGGUUAGCCUAACUUCGGAGGGCGAUCACCACGGUGUGGUUCAUGACUGGGGUGAAGUCGUAACAAGGUAGCCGUAGGGGAACCUGCGGCUGGAUCACCUCCUUA
RNAcentral lists this ribosomal RNA (518 nucleotides) under Halomonas eurihalina. RNAcentral's name for it is "bacterial SSU rRNA". It matches the Rfam family "Bacterial small subunit ribosomal RNA", at positions 1013 to 1533 of the family's 1533-position model. The record is from RNAcentral. Lineage: Bacteria; Pseudomonadati; Pseudomonadota; Gammaproteobacteria; Oceanospirillales; Halomonadaceae.